Molecule: ribosomal RNA, 116 nt
Filed under: uncultured bacterium
Lineage: Bacteria
Description: partial 16S ribosomal RNA
Rfam family: Bacterial small subunit ribosomal RNA
Source: RNAcentral
GCUAUAGAUGGGCCUAUAUUGGAUUAGCUAGUUGGUAGGGUAAAGGCUACCAAGGCGACGAUCCAUAGCUGGUUUGAGAGAAUGAUCAGCCACACUGGGACUGAGACACGGCCCAG